UUCUUAAUCUAACCAACGAAGGUCGCAAGUCCUUGUGUAAUAGAGAGCGAGAA
This 53-nucleotide non-coding RNA is filed under the name unclassified sequences. The record is from RNAcentral.